This 65-nucleotide ribozyme is filed under the name unclassified sequences. RNAcentral's name for it is "pistol ribozyme". It matches the Rfam family "Pistol ribozyme". The record is from RNAcentral.
ACACGUUGCGGCGUGUAUAAAUAGCCAGUCAAGCCGCAAGCGUCCCGGCUCUGCCGGGGGUCUGG